UUGUUACCUGGAGUUCCCCUGAAUACUUCAUUGGGGUAGUUAGUAUCAAGAGUCGAGACCCCUUUUAAUUAAAAAUUAAUUAAGGGUGAGUAGCUCAAGUACUUUGGUUUUAUCCCACUGAAGUGUUUGGGGGAACUCUGGGUGCCAU
RNAcentral lists this microRNA precursor (148 nucleotides) under Rosa chinensis. RNAcentral describes it as "sRNA RchiOBHm_Chr4g0440221". It matches the Rfam family "mir-395 microRNA precursor family". From Rfam's summary of the family: mir-395 was identified in both Arabidopsis thaliana and Oryza sativa computationally and was later experimentally verified. mir-395 is thought to target mRNAs coding for ATP sulphurylases. Lineage: Eukaryota; Viridiplantae; Streptophyta; Magnoliopsida; Rosales; Rosaceae. The record is from Rfam by way of RNAcentral.